Molecule: ribosomal RNA, 433 nt
Filed under: uncultured eukaryote
Lineage: Eukaryota
Description: bacterial SSU rRNA
Rfam family: Eukaryotic small subunit ribosomal RNA
Source: RNAcentral
CAAUAGCGUAUAUUAAAGUUGUUGCGGUUAAAAAGCUCGUAGUUGGAUUUCUGACGGCCUUAGCUCAGCUCGACUCCCUGAGUCGUUGUCUGUCUGAGGUAGUCAACAUUUGGCGUGGACCAGUGUCGGGCUUUUAUUAGCACGUGCUGGCGAUCGUCUCGUUUACUUUGAGAAAAUUAGAGUGUUCAAAGCAGGCUUCGCCUUGAAUAUGUUAGCAUGGAAUAAUGACAUAGGACUUUGGUUCUAUUUGUUGGUUGUUCGAGAACUAGAGUAAUGAUUGAUAGGGACGGUUGGGGGCGAUACGUAUUCCGGGCGGAGAGGUGAAUUACUUGGACCCCGGAACGACGAACCGCUGCGAAAGACGUUUGUCCUAGGACGUUCUCUUUAAUUCAAGAACGAAAGUUAGGGGGAGUCGAAGAUGAUCAGAUACCAU